CAGCCGCCGCGGGAAUACGGAGGGAGCUAGCGUUGUUCGGAAUUACUGGGCGUAAAGCGCGCGUAGGCGGUUACUCAAGUCAGAGGUGAAAGCCCGGGGCUCAACCCCGGAACUGCCUUUGAAACUAGGUGACUAGAAUCUUGGAGAGGUCAGUGGAAUUCCGAGUGUAGAGGUGAAAUUCGUAGAUAUUCGGAAGAACACCAGUGGCGAAGGCGACUGACUGGACAGGUAUUGACGCUGAGGUGCGAAAGCGUGGGGAGCAAACAGGAUUAGAUACCCCCGUAGUCCCUGUCUCUUAUAC
Molecule: ribosomal RNA, 301 nt
Filed under: uncultured bacterium
Lineage: Bacteria
Description: partial 16S ribosomal RNA
Rfam family: Bacterial small subunit ribosomal RNA
Source: RNAcentral